This 776-nucleotide ribosomal RNA is filed under the name uncultured Neocallimastigales. RNAcentral describes it as "partial large subunit ribosomal RNA". It matches the Rfam family "Eukaryotic large subunit ribosomal RNA", at positions 24 to 644 of the family's 3401-position model. The record is from RNAcentral. Lineage: Eukaryota; Fungi; Neocallimastigomycota; Neocallimastigomycetes; Neocallimastigales.
UACGACUACAUAUCAGGCAUAUCAAUAAGCGGAGGAAAAGAAACUAACUAGGAUUCCCUUAGUAACGGCGAGUGAAGCGGGAAGAGCUCAAAUUUGAAAUCUUCAAGGUUCUACCUUGACGAAUUGUAGUUUAAAGAAGUGUUUUCUGUUGGAGUUUUGGUAAAAGUUCUUUGGAAUAGGACAUCAUAGAGGGUGAGAAUCCCGUAUUUGACCAUUUCUUCCAGCUGUGUGAUACACUUUCAAAGAGUCGGAUUGUUUGGGAAUGCAGUCCAAAAUGGGUGGUAAAUUUCAUCUAAAGCUAAAUAUUGGCGAGAGACCGAUAGCGAACAAGUACCGUGAGGGAAAGAUGAAAAGAACUUUGAAAAGAGAGUUAAACAGUACGUGAAAUUGUCAAAAGGGAAGCGUUUGACACCAGUGUUGUUUUCUCGAAAAUCAAUUAAAAAUGACCGGAUUUUGUGUUGUAUUGACUUUAUCAGCUUUCUGCACUUUUUUCUUGUCUUUUUUAAUGCACUUUUCGUUUAACAAGUCAACAUCAAUUUCUUUUGUUGUGAAAGAGGUCAUUGGAAGGUGGCUUUUCACUUCGGGAAAAGUGUUUAUAGCCUUUGACUUCUGCAAUCGGAGAGAUUGAGGUCUGCAGCGUAGAUCCUUCGGGGUUAGAUACAUUUGUGCUAAGUUAUAGUUUUUCAUAGACAACAUGUUGACUAUGAUUAAUCAUGUAGCUUACUCGCUUAUGCUAUUUUACCUACGCUUAGGAUGUUGAAUCUGUGCGAGACUAC